RNAcentral lists this ribosomal RNA (460 nucleotides) under uncultured bacterium. Its description in RNAcentral is "partial 16S ribosomal RNA". It matches the Rfam family "Bacterial small subunit ribosomal RNA", at positions 338 to 795 of the family's 1533-position model. The record is from RNAcentral.
GCUACGGGGGGCAGCAGUGAGGAAUAUUGGUCAAUGGGCGCGAGCCUGAACCAGCCAAGUCGCGUGAGGGAUGAAGGUUCUAUGGAUCGUAAACCUCUUUUAUAAGGGAAUAAAGUGUGGGACGUGUCCUAUUUUGUAUGUACCUUAUGAAUAAGGAUCGGCUAACUCCGUGCCAGCAGCCGCGGUAAUACGGAGGAUCCGAGCGUUAUCCGGAUUUAUUGGGUUUAAAGGGGGCGUAGGCGGCCUUUUAAGUCAGCGGUGAAAGUCUGUGGCUCAACCAUAGAAUUGCCGUUGAAACUGGUGAGCGUUAGUAUGUUUGAGGCAGGCGGAAUGCGGGGUGUAGCGGUGAAAUGCUUAGAGAUCACGCAGAACCCCGAUUGCGAAGGCAGACUGCCAAGCCAUGACUGACGCUGAUGCACGAAAGCGUGGGGAUCAAACAGGAUUAGAUACCCUUGUAGUC